CUCCCAUUAUCUCCCUUUAUUGUCGAAAUUUUUAGGCAAGCAGGAGAUGUUGCUGUCUCAGAAGUAUCUGCACGUGGUGGCUUUCCUAGGAAUUGUCUGCUUUUCUUGUAUUAUUGCAUCUGAGAACCAGGAAAGGUAAGAAAGGUGCAUUACUUCUACGCAUUUGAAACAUUUAUGUUUACAAGGUAUAUAUUUAUUUUCAAUAUUAAAGAGACACUGGAUUGUUUGAAAGUUGCUCCCUUGAUUAAUGCAUAAUGACAUUUCUGAAAAAAUUAAAAGGUACAUACUCUGGAUGUCCAUCUGGAUGUCUUCCUCCAUGAUGUGUAGUUUACUUAUCAUUACAAAUAUUCUGCAAGCUAAAAAAAAAGAGAGUGUGUUUUCCACAGCUUGCAUUACAGACCUUUCUACAACAGAGUAAUGAUGCCUUCAAGUUUCCCCCAUAAUAUUGUAGUCUUGCAGGACCAUGGAUAUCCGCAGCUUAGGGCUAUCUUUCACACUCAACAUCCAUUGAGUAUUAAAUGCUUCAUAUGUAUACUUUAUACUGCUAAUAAACAAAUAUUCCAUAUCUAUGUUCUCGACAAGGGAUAGAACUGAAUGUUAUGGACUAAGUCUCAUUCUUAAGCAGAAGGUGCUUUACAGAGAUGUACUAAAGAGACCUCUAAAGUGUGGUGCAAAGUUGUAAAAGUGCAGUAAUUAUCAAUGAAUGUGCCUGCUGGUUCUACAGGCCUCCAUGGAAAUUGUCCCACUUUUGGAACGUUGCACCAUUUUUCAGAACACAAAACUUGGAUAAUCUCCCCCUGGGUGUCUCUCUCUGCAACCGUGCCUUUGUGCAGCAACUAACCACUGCUCUCGAGUGCCCAAAUCAAAUUUAAAAAAAGAUAAUUUAAAGUAUCAAUGUUUAGCAGAACACUGGCUCAAGGACUGACUGAUUUAUAUAUGUAUGCAUUAAAACAUUUUUUUCUACUAUAAAAAAUUAUGGUAAUUCACUAAACCGGUAAUGCGAGGAGAAUAUUCAAGAAUUGCAGAUCGUAAGACUAAAAAGACCAAUUGGAAAAACUCUCUAGAUCAAAUAUUGUGACCUAAAAUUUGCCUUUGGCCAUAAAUGUGCAAAUAAGUGAAUAACUCUAAUAGUGCAUGUUUUUUUAUACGAAUGUUAAUGACUACAAUUCUUUUUUGACCCAAUUUAGUGAGAGAUCAGUUGCCGAAGCUCAACUAAUGCAUGACAAAGGAAAGACAAUAGAAGAGAUAAAUAGACAAAGAUGGUUACACGGCUUACUGGGGUCUAUACAUAAUCCAGGUCGCAGAGAAGUAUCUUCAUUAAGGAACUUCCACAGAGAUGUACUUGGAAUUAAAGAAGAUCACCAGCGAAUCAAUAUUCUGAAAAACAUCAGGAAUCUGCAAUACAGAGAUGCAGUUAUAGCACACAGUAAAACGAUGUUUGAAUGAGCAUUUUGAAGUUAUCAUGUCAGUUCAGCUACCACAUAUAGAUUAAUUGUAUCAUUUAUAUGGUCUCUUAGUUAGCGGUUCUAUGUAUGCUGGGCUGUGGGUCUCUUAGUCGCUAACCAAUCAGGAACAUUUACUUUGCAUGCAUACAAUUUACAACAAACACACAACGUUUUCCAUCUUUGAAUCUGGAGAAGGGUCUUUAUUUUGCGUUCCACUUGAGGUCCAAGAGACCAGACAAAUGAAAGUUAUUCACAUGAUAAGACAAAUAGGUGCAAAAUAGCAUGCAAUGUAAUUUAGAACAGGGAACAGACUGUCACCGUAAAGAAGAGGGAGA
This 1780-nucleotide long non-coding RNA is filed under the name Pelobates cultripes (western spadefoot toad). The record is from RNAcentral. Lineage: Eukaryota; Metazoa; Chordata; Amphibia; Anura; Pelobatidae.